AUACCGGCUGCUCGAGUGAUGGCCACUAUUACUGGGUUUAAAGCGUCCGUAGCUUGACUGUUAGGUCUCUUGGGAAAUCUUUUGGCUUAACCAAAAGGCGUCUAAGAGAUACCGGCAUUCUUGGAACUGGGAGAGGUAAGCCGUACUUCGGGGGUAGGAGUGAAAUCUUGUAAUCCUCGAGGGACGACCUAUGGCGAAGGCAGCUUACCAGAACAGCUUCGACAGGGAGGGACGAAAGCUGGGGGAGCAAACGGGAUUAGAUACCCCGGUAGUCCCAGCCGUAAACAAUGUGCGUUAGGUGUGUCGGUUACCACGCGUAACUGAUGCGCCGAAGAGAAAUCGUGAAACGCACCACCUGGGAAGUACGGUCGCAAGGCUGAAACUCAAAUGAAUUGGCGGGG
RNAcentral lists this ribosomal RNA (401 nucleotides) under uncultured bacterium. RNAcentral's name for it is "partial 16S ribosomal RNA". It matches the Rfam family "Archaeal small subunit ribosomal RNA", at positions 473 to 873 of the family's 1478-position model. The record is from RNAcentral.